GCGGCUCGGAGGAACUAAUUACAGAGACCGGCAAAGGGAGGCGGCAGGAGCAUAUUAAUUACAGCAUUUAAUCCAUUAGGCAGAGCCGCCAGCUUAACCUCUUUGGAAUUCUUAGAGUUUGUCUAUGAUUAAUUAUUUUUGGAAAUAACAGCCAGCAUCAUAGCUUGUUAAUAGGCUUAAAAUAAUAAAUUUCAAAAACACCGUGAGACGUUUGCACGGGAUUUAGCUUCCAGAAGGCCAACAGUAAUUUCACGAGACACAUCGGCCUCGCUCCCCUGACUCGCUUCCUCUGCACGAGGCCACGGCUGUCCGCACGCGGGAGCCAGAGACGCCGCCACAUCAGCAGCUCCUGGCCCUCCCCCACCGGGGACAGAGGAGUGGGGGUCCUGAAAGAUGCAGGCUUGCACAUUAGCAGGCCCUUCGAGGUGACAGCCCAGGCCAGAGACGGGCUUCCCAAAGCAGCCACCGUGAUCCAUUCUGGUUACCCGUUAAAUAUUACGUCUUCACAAGGAGCCGGUCCACGGUCCGCGUGCGUGGGAGGGACGUAGCAGGUGUUGCACAGAGUUCGGAAAUGCACCCGGGCCGUUGUCAUCUAAGAAGGGAGCUGUGUGAGGUUGCACUGGGAUUCAGCAGGGGUUCGGGCUGAGGGGCUGGCUGUCAGCGUCGCUGAUGUCUGGACUCUGACGCUCCUGAGCCCGAGAGCCACUGCCGGGAGGAGGUGCUGGUGCCCCCAACGGGAUCUCCAUCCUGGCCACCAUGCUGACGGGGCACCUCCCGGUGCUGGGCCGCGCCCGGCAGGAGGGAGGUUACACUUCAGCCGGGCCCGCUGGGGCUCCCAGUCCGGCAGGGAGCAGCCCUGCACGAUUCGCCGAUGGCAGGUGGGCGCAGUGCUGUCCGGGGCACGAGGAGCACGGAAGCUGAGCGCAGGGGCCAGGCUGGGGCAGGUGCACUGGGGAAGGCUUUCUGGAGGUGACACCAGCUGGAGGUUUGAGGGCAAGCAAGAGCUGGCCAGGACCACCGUGGAGAGGGCAGUGGGGCUCCCGAGAGACGCGGCGAGUGCUGGGCUUGGGCAGUGAUGGAGAGAGACGUGCUGGUGAGGGCGCAGAGGCCGGGCCGGGGGGCAUCCUCGCAGCAGGCCAGCACCUGAUGCUGGAGCCCGAGGGGCUGUAGGCUGGGAGCCGCACGGUCUGGACGGCGCCCUGUGCUUUUUGGGGCCCUGGAAACAGGCAGGGAGAGCUACGGGGUGUUUCCAGAGGGGAGCCUGGGCACCAACUUCCGCCCUCAGGCGGGACCACCCCCCAGCCAGACGCCCUCACCGCUGCAGACCCUCCAGGCGCUGUCCUUCUCAGGGCCCUGCGGGCAGGCGGUUGGCAGCCAGUGGCGCAGCCCAGGGACGUGGUUACCAGCACUCCGUGUUCAAACAUAACCAACUAACGCCCUUUCCCGACACCGUCUCCACCCACCGCUCGCGAAUUCCCAAGCCGAUGGAUGUCGGGGCGCAGACAAAGUCACGGCACCUCUCAGACGAGACGCAUACGGGCAGUUCCGUGCCCCCACAGCACACGCAGCGAUUGGCACGUUUCCAUCACCAGCAGCAGCCGACACGGCGGUCCUCAAACCUGCCUUGUGUCGGGCAGACGCAAAGUGUCUUGUGUGUAAAUUCAUUUCUAUUAAUUACUGUAAGUUAAGUAUUUAUAUACUUAAGUAUGAUUAUGCAUGAGCUGUAGCAAAUCACAUCUGUGCUCUCUUGCUCACCGUUGUCGAAUUUUGCAACACGUGCACAUAAAUCAGCAUCAUCUGACCUCAUUCUCCUCCUGCCUGGAGACUCACUCCCUUAAACGACCUCAAGGGCCCACAGAACCCCCCUGGACGAGCACAGACCCAAGCCUGUCACCCGAGGACAGGCAGGACUAAAACGUCAUGUCACAAAGGGCUGUUAGCACGGGUCAUCUGUGACACCCUCUCCCCACAGCGCAUCCUUGGUCCACCCAUGUCUGUCCCCUUACCGUUUUCCAGACCCUCAGAUCCACUUCUCCCAGCCAUUUCCCCCCGUCCCCCACCCCUACCCCAUGCCCAGCAUCACCAAGGCCACCCGGGCCCCUGUGUGACGCUCACACGCACGCACCCUCACGCCUGCACACGCACCCUACAGCUCACACUUACUGGCACACACAUCCUGGCAUGUGUUUGCACACACACAUGAAUCCAGGGUCCACAGCCUCAGCCGCAUGCCCGCUCUGGGGUCCAGCAGCCGGAUCGCUCUCCAGAAAGUGCCACAGGAAGCAGAUGUCAUCCUGACCUGGCAAGCACUUUGGGGUGUCACCCGCAGCCGAAUCAACAGCUUCCUGGCCACGUGGUCCGGCCACCGUCACAGCGCAAGCACAGCUUUGUCGCGAGCUUUACAAAAUGAACACUUCCCCUACCAUCAAAUGGCUCACCCACGUCCAAUUAGUAAUCGGGGUCUUGUCUUCCAGGAUCUAUACGUUGAGAUGCUCUCACCAGAGGUGUUUAACCACCUAUUUGCGCUGCUCAGAGACAGACCUGCCGGUGUAACUCGGCACCAAGUUCCAUGGCCUCGGGGACGUGUUGCCUGGCGAAUCUAAUAAACUCGAACUGUUCUUUACAAUGAGGAUGACCUCUUAGCAAUAAAUGGCAAAGCAACUGCUGAUGUUCUCAAAGAAGCAGAGGCUAAACGCAA
Leopardus geoffroyi (Geoffroy's cat) is the source of this 2698-nucleotide long non-coding RNA. RefSeq lists it as uncharacterized. Lineage: Eukaryota; Metazoa; Chordata; Mammalia; Carnivora; Felidae. The record is from RefSeq and is a predicted model, not a curated record. The transcript is spliced from 3 exons.